Molecule: transfer RNA, 86 nt
Filed under: Deltaproteobacteria bacterium
Lineage: Bacteria; Pseudomonadati; Myxococcota; Myxococcia
Description: tRNA-Ser
Rfam family: tRNA
About the family: Transfer RNA (tRNA) molecules are approximately 80 nucleotides in length. Their secondary structure includes four short double-helical elements and three loops (D, anti-codon, and T loops).
Source: RNAcentral
GGAGAGUUGGCCGAGCGGUCGAAGGUGCGCGACUGGAAAUCGCGUGUAGGUGACCCCUACCGAGGGUUCGAAUCCCUCACUCUCCG